Molecule: small RNA, 132 nt
Filed under: Escherichia coli
Lineage: Bacteria; Pseudomonadati; Pseudomonadota; Gammaproteobacteria; Enterobacterales; Enterobacteriaceae
Description: RtT sRNA
Rfam family: RtT RNA
About the family: This family represents a bacterial cis-regulatory element known as RtT RNA. The exact function of RtT is unknown although it is thought that it may be involved in changing the cellular response in relation to amino acid starvation.
Source: RNAcentral
AUUCUGCCCAUGCGGGGAAGGAUGAGAAGCUUCGACCAAGGUAGCACUCGAGCGCCAGCGAGAGAGCGUUGCCGCAGGCAACGACCCGAAGGGCGAAGCGCGCAGCGCUGAGUAAUCCUUCCCCCACCACCA